Molecule: transfer RNA, 16 nt
Filed under: Duma florulenta
Lineage: Eukaryota; Viridiplantae; Streptophyta; Magnoliopsida; Caryophyllales; Polygonaceae
Description: partial tRNA-Leu
Source: RNAcentral
AAGUGAUAACUUUCAA